This 465-nucleotide ribosomal RNA is filed under the name Vreelandella stevensii. RNAcentral describes it as "partial 16S ribosomal RNA". It matches the Rfam family "Bacterial small subunit ribosomal RNA", at positions 338 to 795 of the family's 1533-position model. The record is from RNAcentral. Lineage: Bacteria; Pseudomonadati; Pseudomonadota; Gammaproteobacteria; Oceanospirillales; Halomonadaceae.
CCUACGGGGGGCAGCAGUGGGGAAUAUUGGACAAUGGGCGAAAGCCUGAUCCAGCCAUGCCGCGUGUGUGAAGAAGGCCUUCGGGUUGUAAAGCACUUUCAGUGGGGAAGAAAGCCUUGGGGCUAAUACCCUCGAGGAAGGACAUCACCCACAGAAGAAGCACCGGCUAACUCCGUGCCACCAGCCGCGGUAAUACGGAGGGUGCGAGCGUUAAUCGGAAUUACUGGGCGUAAAGCGCGCGUAGGCGGUCUGAUAAGCCGGUUGUGAAAGCCCCGGGCUCAACCUGGGAACGGCAUCCGGAACUGUCAGGCUAGAGUGCAGGAGAGGAAGGUAGAAUUCCCGGUGUAGCGGUGAAAUGCGUAGAGAUCGGGAGGAAUACCAGUGGCGAAGGCGGCCUUCUGGACUGACACUGACGCUGAGGUGCGAAAGCGUGGGUAGCAAACAGGAUUAGAUACCCGUGUAGUC